CUUGUUUUUGCGUGCAAAACGCUUUGUCCAAUCCGCUCCGCGUGCUCGCACCGUACCCAAUCCCAUCCUCUCCCCUGGUCGUCCCGAUCCACACCAGCCGCCGCACAACCCUAGCCCCUUUCCCCUUGAUCCCCACAGCCCCUCCCUCCUCCUCGCUCUCCGCCAUGGCCUCUGCACUAGGAGCCUCUCCAUGGCCUCCUACCCAUCCCCCCCACCACCAUAGGUGCACACAGAUGGUCGAUCCGUGCCGGAGAAGAGCAGCUCCAGUUAUGGUGGGGUGCAUCUGUGCCGAAGAUGAAGGAGGUCCGCCGCCCGUCUUUGCCUCCUCGCUGCGUCCUUGUUGCUGCUCCUCCUCUCUCUCUCCGCACCUAGCAGUGCAGCAGCCGGGACAAGGGGAAGGAGCAGCCCGACCCGGCUCCAUCUCUCUCCUUCAUGCAGGAGAACUGGAUGAGCAGGUGGCGAGGGAAGCCGCCACGGCUAGCGGCGGCGCUGCACAGGAACGUCCACCUCCAGGGACCAGAUCUUGGCUAUGAUAUAUGCUGCUGAUUUGGCUAUCAACUGCUAAAUCUACGAAUCAUUCAAAAUGUUUUGCCUAACUGCACAAGCCUUGCAUAUGACCACUGGGCCAUGUCUUUUGAUUUUACUACUGCUAUGGACAAAAGAAGGCUAAAGCUGGGACAGACAACAAUGUCAGGAGCCAACCGAGAAUUUUACUACUGCUAUGGACAAAAGAAGGCUAAAGCUGGGAAAGACAACAAUGUCAGGAGCCAACCGAGGAUUUUACUACUGCUAUGGACAAAAGAAGGCUCAAGCUAGGAAAGACAACAAUGUCAGGAGCCAACCGAGAUCCGAAAUGCCGAGAAGCAGGGUUUAUUUUCUCUCAUCACCAUAACAAAGGGGAGACUCCAGGGAGAGAGAGGAAAGCUGUGCAAGUGCCCCUGGAAGCGAGGCAGCUCGGCGGCGUCGUGGAAGAGGAGCUACGCUUCCAUGGAGUAGAGCGACGAGGGGCUCCGGUGUCGCUGCAGAGGAGGGAGGAGAUCCGCCGCCACUGCACCUGACAAUUCGACAGGAACCUCUCUGGAUGAUUCUGUCAAUUCGGGUGUUAUGCAUUUUUGAAAGUGUUGUGCAAUGGCAGAAAUUGGCAAGAGGAUACCUCAAGUUGGUAUGAGGUUCAUAGAUUCGGAUGAGGCUUGGGUGUUUUGGGUAGAAUAUGGUGAGGAAAAGAUGCAAGUUUGAUGGAAAAGCGACUUCACACAGAUUUGUGUGUUCCAAUGAGGGCAUUAGAAGGAAAGCGCAAACUGAUCGUGAGCCAAAGCGCAAUCCCUGUAUAUGUACUUAUUUUAUUUUAGCCUAUCUCUGCUCAUGUGUGCAUCUCGUUCACUCUUUGGAUUAAACUAUAGCCAAGUGUACAACUAUACUUGCCUAAUAUAUCCAGUGUUCAGUGUCAAAAUUGUCCAGUUUGAAAAGGUUCCAUUACUUUACUGGCAUUGUUUCUUCUGUAUUCACUAAUCCUGCAAGUGUAGGCUGAGAACUAUAUACAAUUUGGACAGGUUCCAGUGUUGUGUUGCUGCCGUACAUGCCCAGUGCAGUUUUUGGAUUUCCACUGAGUGAUAGCUUUGUUUUGGUCUUCCAUAUAUCUGUGUUCUUAUUAUCAAGUCUCCACACAUGUCUUGUGCCCCCACAGGAAAUAGCAUUCUUUGACGUGACUAGAACAGGAAAGCUCUUAAGCAGGCUUUCUGAAGAUACCCAAAUUAUAAAGAAUGCCGCUACAACAAACCUUUCAGAAGCACUGCGUAAUCUGACUACCACAUCUAUUGGUCUUGGCUUUAUGUUUUCAACUUCAUGGAAGCUAACAUGUAAGUACCAGUUCCACAUGCUUGUGCUCUACAGAUUAAGAACUUUGUUGCAUCUCAUUUUGCUGACUGUGUGGCAUCUACCCGUGCAUCAAUAAAAUGAGACCAUGCUUGCAUGUGUUGUGUCUUCUGCACAUCACAGUAAAAUCUUUUGGUUCCCCAAAUGGUUUAAAAAAGAUGUUGACCUGUGACAGUUUCUUGUGUUUUUAUUAAGCCAAAUGUGGGCUGUGAAAUAUGUAAUUUGGAAUAUCUUGAUGCUUUGCUGCUGUUGUCAUUAUGUACUAGCAUUAACAUUUGUGAAAAUGGGCAAUCUGAAGAGGUCUUGAGUGCCAUGUCGGCCCUGUUUCUAUGCUUGUGUAGUUGUGCUUUUGCCAAGUCUGCAGGUGUGGGCUGUUUUGCUUUGGGCAAAUCUCAUGCAUUGGAUCUGCAUUGGACGGCAGAUGAGAGGGGGCCAGUUACAAUGUGACUUGCUAGAGGCAAGUCACUGGAUCUCAGUCCGCUAGGCGAUGUGUGGUAGAAGUUGUACUCACAGGAAGACUAUUGUGCUGUGUAUAAACCACGUUCUACGAUUCACUUCUGUUAUGCAUAUUUACUUUCCAGUUUUAGGACUGAAAUCCAUCCAUUGUGAUGAAUUUGGUUGUAUGGGCAUUACCUAUUUGACUUACGCUUGCUUCAUCACAUAUAAACUGCUUUUCUUUUCCCCACUGAUUGUAUGACCUAAAACUAUCAUGUAUAUGAGCCAAGUUAUUAGCAAUGUUUCACAUUUUCUUACUUGCAAUACUGUGCUUGCCUAUUCAGGUGUUCCAAGACCCAAAUCGUCAGAAAAACA
This 2682-nucleotide ribosomal RNA is filed under the name Triticum aestivum (bread wheat). RNAcentral describes it as "partial small subunit ribosomal RNA". Lineage: Eukaryota; Viridiplantae; Streptophyta; Magnoliopsida; Poales; Poaceae. The record is from RNAcentral.